CAGCCGCCACGGUAAUACGAAGGGGGCUAGCGUUGUUCGGAUUAACUGGGCGUAAAGGGCGCGUAGGCGGGUUUUUAAGUCAGAGGUGAAAUCCCAAGGCUCAACCUUGGAACUGCCUUUGAUACUGGAAGUCUUGAGUCCGGGAGAGGUGAGUGGAACUGCGAGUGUAGAGGUGAAAUUCGUAGAUAUUCGCAAGAACACCAGUGGCGAAGGCGGCUCACUGGCCCGGUACUGACGCUGAGGCGCGAAAGCGUGGGGAGCAAACAGGAUUAGAUACCCGAGUAGUCCCUGUCUCUUAUAA
Molecule: ribosomal RNA, 301 nt
Filed under: uncultured bacterium
Lineage: Bacteria
Description: partial 16S ribosomal RNA
Rfam family: Bacterial small subunit ribosomal RNA
Source: RNAcentral